RNAcentral lists this long non-coding RNA (266 nucleotides) under Olea europaea subsp. europaea. Lineage: Eukaryota; Viridiplantae; Streptophyta; Magnoliopsida; Lamiales; Oleaceae. The record is from RNAcentral.
UGGCAUCAGAUUUGCCUCUAUGUUCUGUAUCAAGCUUUUUAGUGCGUGCAAGUAAAUGAAAGACAAAAUAUAAGUCCGUAAAAUUUUCAGAAACGAACAAAUGUACGAAAAGCCCAUGUGAGAGGUUCAGGCAUUAUAAAUGAAAAAACAAAACAAAACAAAGAAAAAGAACCAUUACACGAGAGAUACACUAAAAAUAAUGAACUUGUGAAGAAAGAGAGAGAGAAAAAAAAAAAAGGAGUUAAAUCUGUGUUUCAAACAAUAAU